CUACGGGACGCAGCAGUAAGGAAUAUUGCGCAAUGGAGGCAACUCUGACGCAGCCAUGCCGCGUGCAGGAAGAAGGCCUUAUGGGUCGUAAACUGCUUUUAUUUAGGAAUAAACCCCCGAACGUGUUCGGGGCUGAAGGUACUAAACGAAUAAGCACCGGCUAACUCCGUGCCAGCAGCCGCGGUAAUACGGAGGGUGCAAGCGUUAUCCGGAUUUAUUGGGUUUAAAGGGUGCGCAGGCGGGCUAUUAAGUCAGUGGUGAAAUCCCGGGGCUCAACUCCGGAACUGCCAUUGAUACUGAUAGUCUUGAGUUUGGUUGAAGUGGGCGGAAUGUAGCAUGUAGCGGUGAAAUGCAUAGAUAUGCUACAGAACACCAAUCGCGAAGGCAGCUCACUAAGCCAAAACUGACGCUCAUGCACGAAAGCGUGGGGAUCAAACAGGAUUAGAUACCCGUGUAGUC
This 459-nucleotide ribosomal RNA is filed under the name uncultured bacterium. Its description in RNAcentral is "partial 16S ribosomal RNA". It matches the Rfam family "Bacterial small subunit ribosomal RNA", at positions 339 to 795 of the family's 1533-position model. The record is from RNAcentral.